UGAAUACGUUCCCGGGCCUUGUACACACCGUCCGUCAAGCCAUGGAAGCCGGGUGUACCUAAAGUCGGUAACCGUAAGGAGCCGCCUAGGGUAAAACUGGUGACUGGGGCU
Molecule: ribosomal RNA, 111 nt
Filed under: uncultured bacterium
Lineage: Bacteria
Description: partial 16S ribosomal RNA
Rfam family: Bacterial small subunit ribosomal RNA
Source: RNAcentral